CCUACGGGUGGCAGCAGUGAGGAAUAUUGGUCAAUGGGCGGGAGCCUGAACCAGCCAAGUCGCGUGAGGGAAGACGGUCCUACGGAUUGUAAACCUCUUUUGCCGGGGAGCAAGGGUCCGUUUGCGAGGGCCCGAUGAGAGUACCCGGAGAAAAAGCAUCGGCUAACUCCGUGCCAGCAGCCGCGGUAAUACGGAGGAUGCGAGCGUUAUCCGGAUUUAUUGGGUUUAAAGGGUGCGUAGGCGGGCUGUUAAGUCAGCGGUCAAAUGUCGGGGCUCAACCCCGGCCUGCCGUUGAAACUGGCGGCCUCGAGUGGGCGAGAAGUAUGCGGAAUGCGUGGUGUAGCGGUGAAAUGCAUAGAUAUCACGCAGAACUCCGAUUGCGAAGGCAGCAUACCGGCGCCCAACUGACGCUGAGGCACGAAAGCGUGGGUAUCGAACAGGAUUAGAUACCCUAGUAGUCC
RNAcentral lists this ribosomal RNA (461 nucleotides) under Escherichia coli. Its description in RNAcentral is "bacterial SSU rRNA". It matches the Rfam family "Bacterial small subunit ribosomal RNA", at positions 338 to 796 of the family's 1533-position model. Lineage: Bacteria; Pseudomonadati; Pseudomonadota; Gammaproteobacteria; Enterobacterales; Enterobacteriaceae. The record is from RNAcentral.